This 231-nucleotide long non-coding RNA is filed under the name Ictidomys tridecemlineatus (thirteen-lined ground squirrel). RNAcentral describes it as "lncRNA (ENSSTOG00000033068.1)". The record is from RNAcentral. Lineage: Eukaryota; Metazoa; Chordata; Mammalia; Rodentia; Sciuridae.
GCGGGUCUCCACGUGCCUCAUCUGUUACAGUGACCAGCUUAGGGAUCAUCAUUGUCUUAAUUUUAGUCCUCAGUCAUCAUCGUCUUCAUGGCCAUCAAGUUCUAUAGGAAAUCAACAGACACCAUGAAAGAAGCUGUUCCAUCAUCUAAUAUGUCAUCAGACUAACACUUGAGUGAAGACAAGAAGUGACCUUCAAUGACAGUCUUGCUACCAGCCUUUACUUUGUCACUC